Molecule: ribosomal RNA, 418 nt
Filed under: uncultured bacterium
Lineage: Bacteria
Description: bacterial SSU rRNA
Rfam family: Bacterial small subunit ribosomal RNA
Source: RNAcentral
GAGUUUGAUCAUGGCUCAGGACGAACGCUGGCGGCGUGCUUAACACAUGCAAGUCGAGCGGAAAGGCUUCCUUCGGGAAGUACUCGAGCGGCGAACGGGUGAGUAACACGUGGAUAAUCAACCUCUUGCUCUGGAAUACCCCGGGGAAACUCGGAUCAAUGCCAGAUAAAGUGCGGUGCUGUCGGGCGCCGUACCAAAGAUAGCUUCGGCCUUCGGCGAGAGACGAGUCCGCGGCCCAUUAGCUAGUUGGCGGGGUAAAGGCCCACCAAGGCUACGAUGGGUAGCUGGUCUGAGAGGAUGAUCAGCCACACUGGGACUGAGACACGGCCCAGACUCCUACGGGAGGCAGCAGUGGGGAAUCUUGCGCAAUGGGCGGAAGCCUGACGCAGCAACGCCGCGUGCGGGAGGAAGGCCUCGG